GACGAACGCUGGCGGCAUGCCUUACACAUGCAAGUCGAACGGCAGCACGGGAGCAAUCCUGGUGGCGAGUGGCGAACGGGUGAGUAAUAUAUCGGAACGAGCCCAGUCGUGGGGGAUAACGCAGCGAAAGCUGUGCUAAUACCGCAUACGAUCUAUGGAUGAAAGCGGGGGAUCGCAAGACCUCGCGCGAUUGGAGCGGCCGAUAUCAGAUUAGCUAGUUGGUGAGGUAAAGGCUCACCAAGGCGACGAUCUGUAGCUGGUCUGAGAGGACGACCAGCCACACUGGAACUGAGACACGGUCCAGACUCCUACGGGAGGCAGCAGUGGGGAAUUUUGGACAAUGGGCGAAAGCCUGAUCCAGCAAUGCCGCGUGCAGGAUGAAGGCCUUCGGGUUGUAAACUGCUUUUGUACGGAACGAAACGGUGAGCUCUAAUACAGUUUGCUAAUGACGGUACCGUAAGAAUAAGCACCGGCUAACUACGUGCCAGCAGCCGCCGUAA
Molecule: ribosomal RNA, 500 nt
Filed under: uncultured bacterium
Lineage: Bacteria
Description: partial 16S ribosomal RNA
Rfam family: Bacterial small subunit ribosomal RNA
Source: RNAcentral